GAUGAACGCUAGCUACAGGCUUAACACAUGCAAGUCGCGGGGCAGCAUGAAUUUAGCUUGCUAAAUUUGAUGGCGACCGGCGCACGGGUGAGUAACGCGUAUCCAACCUUCCCCUGUCCACGGGAUAGCCCGUCGAAAGGCGGAUUAAUACCGUAUGAGGUCACAUGCGGGCAUCUAAUUGUGACGAAAGGUUUAGCGGACAGGGAUGGGGAUGCGUCCGAUUAGGUAGUCGGCGGGGUAACGGCCCACCGAGCCGACGAUCGGUAGGGGUUCUGAGAGGAAGGUCCCCCACAUUGGAACUGAGACACGGUCCAAAACUCCUACGGGAGGCAGCAGUGAGGAAUAUUGGUCAAUGGGCGCGAGCCUGAACCAGCCAAGUAGCGUGCAGGAUGACGGCCCUAUGGGUUGUAAACUGCUUUUAUGCGGGGAUAAAAGUGAGGGACGCGUCCCUUUUUGCAGGUACCGCAUGAAUAAGGACCGGCUAAUUCCGUG
RNAcentral lists this ribosomal RNA (492 nucleotides) under uncultured bacterium. Its description in RNAcentral is "bacterial SSU rRNA". It matches the Rfam family "Bacterial small subunit ribosomal RNA", at positions 28 to 507 of the family's 1533-position model. The record is from RNAcentral.